RNAcentral lists this ribosomal RNA (742 nucleotides) under Kimberleymelon tealei. RNAcentral describes it as "partial 16S ribosomal RNA". The record is from RNAcentral. Lineage: Eukaryota; Metazoa; Mollusca; Gastropoda; Stylommatophora; Camaenidae.
CGCGAAACCAAAUGAGCUACUACGAAGCGUCUUAUAGUAUUGAGUAUGUGGCAUAAUAUCCCAAAGAUUUCGUAGUAGGGGUGAAAGGCUUUCCAAGUUUGGUGAUAACUCGAUAGUGCUUAAACGUAUCAAGUACAAUGUCAAUUUAUUAGUGAUUAGGCUAAUAAAGGUUCAUGUGAUUUAAUUAGUUACGGCUUAUAUUGUUUAAAAACUUAUAGUCAAAGAGUUUACUAUAUAAAUAAUAUAUCAAUGGUAAAUAAGUGCUACCAUUAAACUUGUUAGUUGUUUAUACUGCUAAUAUAAGUAACAUUAGAUAUUGUUAAUGAACUCGGCAAUAUUUCCUUCAGCUGUUUAUCAAAAACAUCGCCAAUAGAAAAUAUUUUUGGUUUAUUCUGCUCCAUGAUUUUUAAAUAGCCGCAGUACCUUGACUGUGCAAAGGUAGCAUAAUCAUUUGGCUUAUAAUUGAAGUCUAGUAUGAACGAAUGAAUGGGGGAAAUCUUUAUUAGUAAUAAUUGUUGAAUUUACCAUGUGAGUGCAAAUCCUCACAAAUAAAUAAUAGACGAGAAGACCCUAGAAAUUUUAAUGAUAUGUUAAACAAAAUUUUUGUUGGGGCAACAUAGUAGCAUAUAAUCUACACUAAUGACAGGAAAUAAAUUAGUAAGAUUAAAUUACUCUAGGGAUAACAGCGUAAUUUAUGUAAGCUUGCGACCUCGAUGUUGGACUAGGGAACGAUUGCUUAGAA